CCUACGGGUGGCAGCAGUGGGGAAUAUUGGGCAAUGGGCGCAAGCCUGACCCAGCAACGCCGCGUGAAGGAAGAAGGCUUUCGGGUUGUAAACUUCUUUUGACAGGGAAGAGUAGAAGACGGUACCUGUCGAAUAAGCCACGGCUAACUACGUGCCAGCAGCCGCGGUAAUACGUAGGUGGCAAGCGUUGUCCGGAUUUACUGGGUGUAAAGGGCGUGUAGCCGGGCCGACAAGUCAGAUGUGAAAUCCGGGGGCUCAACCCCCGAACUGCAUUUGAAACUGUUGGUCUUGAGGAUCGGAGAGGCAGGCGGAAUUCCUAGGGGAGCGGGGAAAUGCGUAGAUAUUAGGAGGAACACCAGUGGCGAAGGGGGCCUGCUGGAAGACAACCGACGGGGAGGCGCGAAAGCGUUGGGAGCAAACAGGAAUAGAUACCCCAGUAGUC
RNAcentral lists this ribosomal RNA (442 nucleotides) under uncultured bacterium. RNAcentral's name for it is "partial 16S ribosomal RNA". It matches the Rfam family "Bacterial small subunit ribosomal RNA", at positions 338 to 795 of the family's 1533-position model. The record is from RNAcentral.